Long non-coding RNA from Vidua chalybeata, 1181 nucleotides. RefSeq lists it as uncharacterized. The record is from RefSeq and is a predicted model, not a curated record. NCBI's taxonomy places the organism in Eukaryota, Metazoa, Chordata, Aves, Passeriformes, Viduidae. The transcript has 2 exons.
CCUGCUGGGGCUGAGGGCUCGGUAGCCCCGGACGGCACCGGCCGCUCCCGCCCUCUCCGAGCCCCUGCGCAGCGGCCUGUGUUGGUGUAGGCUGCUGUGUUGCUUAGGCGUGGGGGCUUACACAGAGCCAAGGCCUUUUCUGCUUUCCGUACUGCUAAGCUGGUGAGGAAGUUGGGAGGAGACUCAGCCGGGACAGAUGACACCAGCUGAGCAAAGGACAUUCCACACCAUGUGACAUCAUGCUCAGCAUAGAAAGUGGGGGGAAGCAGGAGGAGGGGAGGGAUGUUUGGAGUGAUGGUGUUUGUCUUCCCAAGUCACCAUUAUGUGUGAUGGGCCCCUGCUCUCCUGGAGGCUGCUGAACGCCUGCCUGCCAUGGGAAGCAGUGGAUCUGUUCCUGGUUUUGCUUUGCUUACAUGUGUGGCAUUUGUUUUCCCCAUUAAAUUAUCUUUAUUUCAACCCACAAGCUUUCUAGCUUUUUACCCUUCCAGUUCUCUCCCUAACUGUGCUAAGUGGAGGAGUGAGCAAGUUGCUGCUUGGGGCUUGAUUGCUGGCUGGGGUCCCUACCAAGCCUAACCACAACAGCUCCUAUGAAAAUGUACCUCAGUGUUUAGCAGUAGUCAGGAAACAGUAAUGACUUUUCAGGAAUGACUAGGAAAAGAAGAGAAACCCCCCUGCAUGUGCAAGGCCAGCAUUUCAAAUGCUGCUCUGAUUCUUCAUCUCAAACCCCCACAUAUUCCAUAGGUGAAGGUGGCACUGACUGCAAUUGCAAGGCAAUUCUGGAAGAGUCACAGGCAUCAGAGGACACAUUACCUGCUGGGGUAAUGAGCUAAAGCAUUCUGAAGGUGGCUACUGAGCAGACAUUACCAAUUCCAUCAUGCCAACAGACAUCUUGACCUCUGAUUAGGCACUGGAGCCACCUAAACUCUAUGAAAGUUUUCAAGAUAUUUCAAAGAUUUUUUUCUACAUGGAAAUUCCAUUGGAAAAGAGAGACUUAUCAGAUUGCAACUAGCUUCUUUCCUUUCCACCGAAAGAUGAUCUUUCUGAAGUGGCCAGCAUUUCCCAGUUUGUCAAGAUUUUUGUUGUAAAGUCUAUGUUGGCAGUUGGUUAUUUGGCAAAAUGUAUUUCCUGUACAUAUUAACAUUUUCUAGAUUCUAUUCUUAAAUAAAUAUUAAUAUAUGCAA